GUCAGCAGCCAUAUCACACUGCAACUCACCACUAGCAGCCCACUGAAGCUAAGCAGGUGUGAGCCUGGUCAGUACCUGGAUGGGAGACCGCCUGGGAAAACUAAGGUUGCUGCUGGAA
Molecule: ribosomal RNA, 118 nt
Organism: Lepisosteus oculatus (spotted gar)
Lineage: Eukaryota; Metazoa; Chordata; Actinopteri; Semionotiformes; Lepisosteidae
Source: Ensembl